Long non-coding RNA from Solea solea (common sole), 2063 nucleotides. RefSeq lists it as uncharacterized. The record is from RefSeq and is a predicted model, not a curated record. NCBI's taxonomy places the organism in Eukaryota, Metazoa, Chordata, Actinopteri, Pleuronectiformes, Soleidae. The transcript is spliced from 3 exons.
UCAUGUCGAUUUGAACUUGAUGUGAGAACAAGAAGUGUCUGGAGUUGCACAUACACACACACACACACACACACACACACGCACUCACACACACGCACGCACACACAAACACGCACACACACGUAUGGUGAAAAAAAGGGGCGUUUAUUUCAACGACUACUGUAGCUUUAAGAGAAUUAUCGACCAUCAUCACACUCCAGCCAAGCAACGUAGUUCCCCACCACAGCAGCAGCGGAUUAAUAUCCAAAACGUUAACAGGUUAGUGUCUGCUCAGCAGGUGGAUGAACAUGUAAUGGAGUUGCAGCAUCAGUCGCUGACCAAGGAAUUACUGGGGAAGUUGGUGGUAGAGGGAGGCUAUUGACAUGUCACAGGAAGAUGCUCAAAAAUGUAGAGCACAUGGAGAAGAUCUCUAUGCUGGCUUUCCAUCCAGUUAAGAUGCACAGCUGCUAUGAGAAGGUGGUGAACCUGAGCCUUGAGGGUCUGCAUCAACAGUUUGACCAAAUGGACAAUGCUGUGUAGAUGUUUGAGCAGAUCCUUCAUCAGAGUCUCGAGUCUCAGGGUACAGAGGAGCUGUGUAAGAUCAUCCAGCACUGCCAGGACAGAGUCAUUAAGGUAAUACCCAAAGAAAACAGGCUUGUGCAUCAAAUUCUUGCAUAACAUCCACAUUAAUAUCUCAUAAUAUUACAUCUGGCAUACUCCAGCCCUGGGAGUGAAACUUUUGGUCUGGCCUUGUUUUAGUGUAAAAGAAAAUUCAGGGUUUUGUUUCACUUCAGAUGAGCACAAAUUAAGACGUCAGGAAACGUAAGUGACUGCCACUGCCUGUGUCACUCCUACACAAGGUGUAGCUAUUGUAAAACAAGAUGUGAGUCAGUAUAUGAAAUCAGUGUUUUUCUCUUUCUCGUUCUUAAAUAUGAUGUCAUCAUCCCAGUUUCUUGAAUGUCUAAUGAACUAAACAUCAUUUAGCGAGAUAACCACGUCCUGUGCCAAAUUAAUAAAAUGCACAUGGAAAGAGUGACACCACUAUUGUUCAUGAAAGAUUGCACCAAAACAACUCAAAAUGAAGUAAACUUAUUUCAAUUGUACCGGUUUUCUUAACAGUUGACCUUUCACAAUGGCAGCAUUGAGUGUUUUUUUUUGUUGUUUUUUUCUGGAGCCUUUAUUAUCAAACCUCUUACUGACCUAAAUGACGGUGGUCUAAUAAUGACCACAGUAGGCAUGAAUCAUUGUAAAAUUGAUUACAGUCAAAAUAAUAUAAGAUGUAGCUACUUGUUUGAAUGACAUACAGCAUAAUAUUUUCAUGGGGGUUAAUGCAAUUAUUUACCAAUCAGAGUGACAGCUGACCAAAUGGAAUCAUCAGCAGGAUUAAUCUCUUCUGGCUCUUACCCUGGUCUGGCAGAGCUUCAGAGAAUAAAUCUCCAUGGCAACCUAACUUUAUCAAUUUAUUAUUUUGAGCAAGAGUCCAGGAUACCGGGCAAUAUCCCAGCUUAAUCCCUUCUGUGCAUGGUCCUCUGAUAUUUUCAAGCCUCAACUUGCCAGUUCCAUGUUUAUUUUUAUUAUAUCAGAAAGUAUAAGUUUGUGGAUGAGCUAACUCAUGCUUUUGAAGCAUGAUGAUGGUCAACACAGCGGCCAUCUUCCAGAUAGAGAUUAGAUAGAAAAUAAAAACUCCAAACUCAAGGAAUAAACACUUGACUUUUGCGAGAACAGGUGAACGUCACAUAGUGUACCCUGAGACAUUAUUGCUCUGGACCAUAAUCAUGAAUUGGACUGAUAAGAGAUUACCGGCAUCUUGUGAAACGUGCCAGUACACAAAUAAAAGUGCCGGUUCUGUGUACUGGACAGUACCGGGCCACUUCUAGUUAAUAACUGUACUGUAGUGACAGUGAUGGUAUUUUAUGUACACUUAAUGUCUCUUAUGUGAUCUUAUUCUUCAACAAACAAGUGCACAAUAAAAUUCACUGGGAAUUCUAAAUAGCACAUUGCAAUUUCUUCAAUUAUUAUCAAAGUAUUGAUCAGUAAUACAGUGAAAAUGAGAGGAAAUGUUUAAGGUGUGCGCCCCUAAAUGU